AGCGAACGCUGGCGGCAGGCCUAACACAUGCAAGUCGAACGAGCUCUUCGGAGUUUGUGGCGGAUGGGUGUGUAACCCGUGGGAUCGUGCAUUUUGGUUCGGAAUAACUAUGGGAAACUUGUGCUAAUACCGAAUGUGCCCUUCGGGGGAACGAUUUAUCGCCAUUAGAGCGGCCCGCGUCUGAUUAGCUAGUUGGUGAGGUUAUGGCUCACCAAGGCGACGAUCAGUAGCUGGUCUGUGAGAAUGCCCAGCCACACUGAGACUAAGACACGGCCCAGACUCCUACGCGAGGCAGCAGUGGCGAAUCUUGCGCAAUGGGCGAAGGCCUGACGCAGCCCUGCCGCGUGAAUUAUGUAAGUCGGAAAAUUGAAAAAUGCUUUCACCGGUGACGAUAAUGACGGUACCCAGUGAAGAAGCCCCGGCUAACUUCGUG
RNAcentral lists this ribosomal RNA (433 nucleotides) under uncultured bacterium. RNAcentral's name for it is "partial 16S ribosomal RNA". It matches the Rfam family "Bacterial small subunit ribosomal RNA", at positions 29 to 507 of the family's 1533-position model. The record is from RNAcentral.